UCGAGGAUCUUCGUCAAUGGGCGAAAGCCUGAACGAGCGAUGCCGCGUGUGUGAUGAAGGCCUUCGGGUUGUAAAGCACAAAAGUGAAGAGAAAGGGAAACUUGAUCGAUUCACAGUAAGCUCGGGCUAAGUUCGUGCCAGCAGCCGCGGUAAGACGAACCGAGCGAACGUUGUUCGGAAUCACUGGGCUUAAAGGGCGCGUAGGCGGGUGCUCAAGUCUGUGGUGAAAUCCUCCAGCUCAACUGGAGAACUGCCAUGGAUACUGGGUAUCUCGAGGAAGGUAGGGGUAUGCGGAACGAUCAGUGGAGCGGUGAAAUGCGUUGAUAUUGAUCGGAACUCCGGUGGCGAAGGCGGCAUACUGGACCUUUUCUGACGCUGAGGCGCGAAAGCCAGGGGAGCAAACGGG
RNAcentral lists this ribosomal RNA (406 nucleotides) under uncultured bacterium. RNAcentral's name for it is "bacterial SSU rRNA". It matches the Rfam family "Bacterial small subunit ribosomal RNA", at positions 355 to 776 of the family's 1533-position model. The record is from RNAcentral.